RNAcentral lists this ribosomal RNA (253 nucleotides) under uncultured bacterium. RNAcentral describes it as "partial 16S ribosomal RNA". It matches the Rfam family "Bacterial small subunit ribosomal RNA", at positions 524 to 776 of the family's 1533-position model. The record is from RNAcentral.
UACGUACCGUCCAAACGUUAUUCGGUAUCACUGGGCUUAAAGCGUUCGUAGGCGGCCUAGAAGGUGAGGUGUGAAAGCCCACGGCUCAACCGUGGAAUUGCGCUUCAAACCACUAGGCUUGAGGAAGACAGGGGUGGAGGGAACUUAUGGUGGAGCGGUGAAAUGCGUUGAUAUCAUAGGGAACACCGGUGGCGAAAGCGCUUCACUGGGUCUUUGCUGACGCUGAGGAACGAAAGCUAGGGUAGCGAACGGG